This is a long non-coding RNA of Eufriesea mexicana, 342 nucleotides long. RefSeq lists it as uncharacterized. The transcript is spliced from 3 exons. NCBI's taxonomy places the organism in Eukaryota, Metazoa, Arthropoda, Insecta, Hymenoptera, Apidae. The record is from RefSeq and is a predicted model, not a curated record.
CGUGCCGUGCAGGUCGGUAGAGAGUUUUUGUGAUUUCCGUUAAAUUACCGAGACGCACGCUUCAAACCGCGUGGUUAUCAAUCGGUGUUUCCAGUGUGCUUUGUUCAGUGCUAUUAGAUGUUAUUCUUUAUCGUCGUUGCAUGAACGUUUCAUCGAAGUUCCCAAUAAGCAAAGGACCGUGAUUGGAAUACUUGCAUGGGCUGUGCAACGUGACAGGCAGAAGGAUCAUCGGAUAAGCAGACUACCGAUUGCUGCGCCACUGCUGCCUAACCUCCACAACGCUUUGUUGAGCAACGCAGGUUGACAUCGUUCAGCGCCAUCGAUUCUCGCAGUUUAAUUUCG